This 526-nucleotide ribosomal RNA is filed under the name bacterium enrichment culture clone Cont26_3130. RNAcentral's name for it is "bacterial SSU rRNA". It matches the Rfam family "Bacterial small subunit ribosomal RNA", at positions 8 to 525 of the family's 1533-position model. The record is from RNAcentral.
AGAGUUUGAUCCUGGCUCAGAACGAACGCUGGCGGCGUGCUUAACACAUGCAAGUCGAACGCGAAAAGUUUUCUUCGGAAGACGAGUAGAGUGGCGCACGGGUGAGUAACGCGUAAGUAAUCUACCCCGGCAUCUGGAAUAACUCACCGAAAGGUGUGCUAAUACCGGAUACGUUGGUAACAAGAAAGGUGGCCUCUGCAUAUGCUACCGUGCUGGGAUGAGCUUGCGUACCAUUAGCUAGUUGGUAGGGUAAAGGCCUACCAAGGCGACGAUGGUUAGCGGGUCUGAGAGGAUGAUCCGCCACACUGGAACUGGAACACGGACCAGACUCCUACGGGAGGCAGCAGUGRGGAAUUUUGCGCAAUGGGGGAAACCCUGACGCAGCAACGCCGCGUGAGUGAUGAAGGCUUUCGGGUCGUAAAGCUCUGUCAGAGGGGAAGAAAUGUAUGGAUGCUAAUACCAUCUUUACUUGACGGUACCCUCAAAGGAAGCACCGGCUAACUCCGUGCCAGCAGCCGCGGUAAUA